This 253-nucleotide ribosomal RNA is filed under the name uncultured bacterium. RNAcentral describes it as "partial 16S ribosomal RNA". It matches the Rfam family "Bacterial small subunit ribosomal RNA", at positions 524 to 776 of the family's 1533-position model. The record is from RNAcentral.
UACAGAGGUGGCAAGCGUUGUUCGGAAUCACUGGGCAUAAAGGGCGCGUAGGCGGCGAUGAAAGUCAGGUGUGAAAGCCCUCAGCUUAACUGAGGAAUUGCGCCUGAAACUACAUUGCUUGAGUGUAGGAGGGGAGAGUGGAACUCCUAGUGGAGCGGUGAAAUGCGUAGAGAUUAGGAGGAACGCCGGUGGCGAAAGCGACUCUCUGGCCUAUUACUGACGCUGAGGCGCGAAAGCUAGGGGAGCAAACGGG